AAUAAUUAAAAUUUGCGAAUAGAAUUAUUUCUUGGAAAUUAUAUUUACAAGAUUAUUUUUCAUUCUUUAGGAGGUCUCAAACUCCAAUAAAAUGAAGCAAUAUCCCACCCAUCAUAAAAAAAAUUUCAAGAAAUCUGUCCAUGAAGAGUUUCAACACAUAGAAGUUAGCAUGAAAAUAUCCUGACCCUAGAUUUUUCACUUAAAUUCCUGUGAAAAUUGACGAGAGUUUGCAGCAGGAUCAUCACUUUUCCUGGAGCUUCCAAAUCGACCACUGACCUGGCGAGCAUACGCCACAACAGCCUUAGCCCAUCUCUUGAUAUCAAGCUUUAACUUGUUAGAAUCCAGGUGCUUAAGGGACUUCGCCGCUGGUUCUAUAGAUAUCUCCUGCAUCACUGAAAAGCAUCGACCAAACCUCCCACGUUUAGCAGCAGCUUCUUCAUUGUUAGCCGUAGUUUUUCUGCGGUUCAGUGAAAGGGUUUUCGUGAUAGACAUGGUGGAAUCUUUGAGCAGCAAUGUUGCCGAGAAGCUAUCGCUGCUCCUUCAGAAGCAAAAAGGUAUUUGGGUUUGGUAUUUUUAUUCAAGGUUUAAAGAAUUAUAGUAAGACAAGUAACAUAUUAUAUUCCAAAGGGAACUGUGUUAUUCCAAUACGUGUGCCAAACUAAACUUGUUUAAUUGACUAAAGACUUUUCAGCCUUCUGGG
Molecule: long non-coding RNA, 700 nt
Filed under: Manihot esculenta (cassava)
Lineage: Eukaryota; Viridiplantae; Streptophyta; Magnoliopsida; Malpighiales; Euphorbiaceae
Description: long non-coding RNA (MESC_LNC002545)
Source: RNAcentral